RNAcentral lists this ribosomal RNA (467 nucleotides) under uncultured bacterium. RNAcentral's name for it is "partial 16S ribosomal RNA". It matches the Rfam family "Bacterial small subunit ribosomal RNA", at positions 339 to 795 of the family's 1533-position model. The record is from RNAcentral.
CUACGGGUCGCUGCAGUCGAGAAUAGUCUACAAUGGACGAAAGUCUGAUAGUGCGACGCCGCGUGGAUGAAGAAGCAUUUCGGUGUGUAAAGUCCUUUUCUGUGUGAGCAAUGUUUUCCAGGUUAAUAGCUUGGAGAAAGCGAUAUUAACACAGGAAUAAGCUCCGGCUAACGUCCGUGCCAGCAGCCGCGGUAACACGGGGGGAGCAAGCGGUGUCCGGAAUUACUAGGCGUAAAGGGUAAGUAGGCGGAAUUGUAAGUCAGAUGUUAAAGGCACCGGCUCAACCGGUGUAUGGCAUUUGAUACUGUAAUUCUAGAGUAAGGUGGGGGAAGACGGAAUUCCUGGUGUAGCGGUGGAAUGCGCAGAUAUCAGGAGGAACACCAGAGGCGCAGGCGGUCUUCUAUACCAUUACUGACGCUCAAUUACGAAGGUGUGGGUAUCAAACAGGAUUAGAUACCCCCGUAGUC